Otolemur garnettii (small-eared galago) is the source of this 1629-nucleotide RNA transcript. It is a transcript of the gene named nuclear receptor subfamily 5 group A member 2 pseudogene, with no coding region annotated. Lineage: Eukaryota; Metazoa; Chordata; Mammalia; Primates; Galagidae. The record is from RefSeq and is a predicted model, not a curated record. The transcript has a single exon.
GGCUUCCGGACCCACACAGACCCCUUAUUCCCGCCCGCAGCCACCUUGUCAUGCUGCCCAAAGUGGAAACGGAAGCCCUGGGACUGGCUCGAUCGCAUGGGGAACAGGGCCAGAUGCCGGAAAACAUGCAAGUGUCUCAAUUUAAAAUGGUGAAUUACUCCUAUGAUGAAGAUCUUGAAGAGCUUUGUCCUGUGUGUGGAGAUAAAGUGUCUAGGCACCAUUAUGGGCUCCUCACCUGUGAGAGCUGCAAGGGAUUUUUUAAGCGAACAGUCCAAAAUAAUAAAAGGUACACAUGUAUAGAAAACCAGAACUGCCAAAUUGACAAAACCCAGAGAAAACGUUGUCCUUACUGUCGAUUUCAGAAACGUCUAAGUGUUGGAAUGAAGCUAGAAGCGGUAAGGGCUGACUGAAUGCGUGGAGGAAGAAAUAAGUUUGGGCCCAUGUACAAGAGAGACAGAGCCCUGAAGCAACAGAAAAAAGCCCUCAUCCGAGUCAAUGGACUUAAGCUAGAAGCCAUGUCUCAGGUGAUCCAAGCUAUGCCCUCCGACCUGACCAUCUCCUCGGCAAUUCAGAACAUCCAUUCUGCCUCCAAAGGCCUACCUCUGAACCAUGCUGCCUUGCCUCUUACAGACUAUGACAGAAGUCCCUUUGUAACAUCCCCUAUUAGCAUGACAAUGCCCCCUCAUGGCAGCCUGCAAGGUUACCAAACAUAUGGCCACUUUCCUAGCUGGGCCAUCAAGUCUGAGUACCCAGACCCCUACACCAGCUCGCCUGAGUCAAUAAUGGGCUAUUCCUAUAUGGAUAGUUACCAGACAAGCUCUCCAGCAAGCAUCCCACAUCUGAUCCUGGAACUUUUGAAGUGUGAGCCAGAUGAGCCUCAAGUCCAGGCCAAAAUCAUGGCCUAUUUGCAGCAAGAGCAGGCGAAUCGAAGCAAGCACGAAAAGCUGAGCACAUUUGGGCUUAUGUGCAAAAUGGCAGAUCAGACCCUCUUCUCCAUUGUUGAGUGGGCCAGGAGUAGUAUCUUCUUCAGAGAACUUAAGGUUGAUGACCAAAUGAAGCUGCUUCAGAACUGCUGGAGUGAGCUCCUAAUCCUCGACCACAUUUACUGACAAGUGGUACACGGAAAGGAAGGAUCAAUCUUCCUGGUUACUGGGCAACAAGUGGACUACUCUAUCAUAGCAUCACAAGCUGGGGCCACCCUCAACAACCUCAUGAGUCACGCACAGGAGUUAGUGGCAAAACUUCGUUCUCUCCAGUUUGAUCAACGAGAGUUUGUGUGUUUGAAAUUCUUGGUGCUUUUUAGUUUAGAUGUCAAAAACCUUGAGAACUUCCAGCUGGUAGAAGGUGUCCAGGAGCAAGUCAACACCGCACUGUUGGACUACACAAUGUGCAACUACCCACAGCAAACAGAGAAAUUUGGGCAGCUACUUCUUCGAUUACCCGAAAUCCGGGCCAUCAGCAUGCAGGCUGAAGAAUACCUCUACUACAAGCACCUGAAUGGGGAUGUGCCCUAUAAUAACCUUCUCAUUGAAAUGUUGCAUGCAAAAAGAGCCUAAGUUACAAACCCCAGGCACUCUGCUUUCAAAACAUAAAGAGACUUGAUGGGGGGGUGGGGGGGAGAACAACAGG